This is a small nucleolar RNA of Oryctolagus cuniculus (rabbit), 122 nucleotides long. NCBI's taxonomy places the organism in Eukaryota, Metazoa, Chordata, Mammalia, Lagomorpha, Leporidae. The record is from Ensembl.
CUGCAUCCACUGAUAGGUCUGGAAUAGUUGGCUGUGGUUCUUUUGCUCUGCACCAGGCUGCAAAAGAAAAAUACCUGUGGUUUGUCUUAGUGGCAGCUCAGAUUGAAUUAGGAAUUAUAUUU